CGUCUCGUGGGUUUUUUCGUCUGCUAGUCAAAAUUCCAUUCCAAAGAUUUUGUUGCUUUGUUCAUGAAAGAACACAAUUUACAGAGUUACCUCCCCUAGCAGAACUCUUUUGAUGUAAACAAUACUGAUACAUGUGGCAGACAAUGUUGAACUGUAGUUUUUCAAUCUUAUCUGAGAUGAAUGUGGGAAUUCACAGUAUUCUAAGGAUGAAAAGACAACACGCUUAUUGGACAAUGUAAUAGAAUUGUUGAACCACUUCCUUAGGAUUAAAAUAUGCAAAAAUCAAGUCGGAGGGAAAAUUGAUUUGAUUGAAUAUGAAUCUAACAUGCUAAUAUUGGGAUCUUUUCCCAACUACAUGUACAUUCAUACUUUGUUUGUCCAAAACACCAACAAACCCUAGGAAUAUGCAUGAGAUUAAGAGAAGGAAUGUUGGUUGUGCACAACCGUCUCACAAAGGAAGGAUCAAAGCCAGACAGAGCAGUGCCCAUCCAGAUGAGCAGGGCCUUUUUCUAGGUUCUAAACACAAGGGAUUUGCUGAACUGCAGAGGUUAUUUGUAAAGACACAUACCUUUGAUAUUUGAAAGAACUGUUUACAGAAGACUAUUGCAUUGCAGAGGAUUGAUGAUUAAAAGAUUCGACUACAGCAAAGUUCAAUGAGGCUCAUCAUAUUGUGAUGCCAAUAUUGCGCACUUGAGUAGGAAGAUCAAAAUGUUUGUAGUGAAUGGACAUAAGGAAAUAGCUUGCCUUCAAAUUGACCAACAUUUCUGAAGUCAAGGAUGACAACUUAGUCUCUAUUCAUAAAGAAAUUGCAUAGCCAUGUUUGAACCUAAAGAACAGAUAUACCAAAUCUGAAUGACAGAUAAAAUAAUAAGACAUGAUAACUAUAAGAAGACUCUGAACAAUCUGAAAACUAUCAAUUCAGGAAUUCCAUGUACAUGAUGUAUGUGACAGAAGUUUUUAAAAACAUUUGAAUGUUGAGAUUGGUUGAGUAUCUCAAUGAUAAGAACUUUCAUUCUGAAAUCAGAAUUUGGAUGAUCUUUUCCUGUAUGAGCGUAAAUUAAUCUCUAAUUUGGUCAGUUAUUUUUAAAAAUAUUAUAGUAAAUGAAUGAAAUAAUUUGUGCAAUUUAUUAUUUUCUUUUUGAAAAAUGUUGCAUGUUUAUUAUGACAUACAUUUU
Molecule: long non-coding RNA, 1175 nt
Organism: Mytilus californianus (California mussel)
Lineage: Eukaryota; Metazoa; Mollusca; Bivalvia; Mytilida; Mytilidae
Exons: 3
Source: RefSeq, a predicted model, not a curated record